Molecule: long non-coding RNA, 694 nt
Filed under: Zostera marina
Lineage: Eukaryota; Viridiplantae; Streptophyta; Magnoliopsida; Alismatales; Zosteraceae
Description: long non-coding RNA (ZMAR_LNC005226)
Source: RNAcentral
ACCGCUCCACCAAAGCUGCUCUUCCGCCAGCUGUUUGAGAAGGAGUCGUCAACUUAUACCUACCUCCUUGCUGACAUCGCCCAUCCAGACAAACCGGCCCUGGUUUGUACUUUCAAAUCUCAACUCUGAACACACAAAUCUUAAUUUGUUAAUAUAUAUAACAUGAGUGCUGACUUGGGUAUGGAGAGAUACCUGAGGAGAGGUCGAAGAGUCUGGUUGAGGUUCGUUCUUUAGGGACGGAUUUUAGUUGGGGUGGACGGACCUUACGUUUGCCUCACGUCUGACUAGUGGACUUAGUUGAUGGCUGACGAACUCAACCCUUGACUUCUUUCAGAGAAGAGGGGAAGGCAGAUGCCUUUAAUGGACUAUGGUUGUGUGCUCAUGUCGGGCCCCAGAGUAGACACGAGCACAUGACGGACGAAAACAUGUCACAAUCAAAGGUUUCUGAAACUGAGAUGAGAGAGAAAGGGUGUAGAAACCUGAGAUUAAUUAGACAGACGAGUUUUAUAGAGUUUGUGAGGUGACUUGUUUGUAUUAUGAGUUAUAUAUAUCAUUUGUAACCUUCUGAUGUGCCUCUAUACAAGGUCAGACUUUCACGUGGUGUACUAUUUUUUUGAGUAUAUAUUUAUCACGAUUUUAUUCAAAAAAAAUUAAUUUUGGGUGUAUAUAUAUAUAUAUGAAUACGAUGCAGUUG